This 465-nucleotide ribosomal RNA is filed under the name uncultured bacterium. RNAcentral's name for it is "partial 16S ribosomal RNA". It matches the Rfam family "Bacterial small subunit ribosomal RNA", at positions 28 to 507 of the family's 1533-position model. The record is from RNAcentral.
GACGAACGCUGGCGGCGUGCUUAACACAUGCAAGUCGAACGGAAAGGCCCCCUUGUGGGGUACUCGAGUGGCGAACGGGUGAGUAACACGUGAGUAACCUACCCUUGACUUUGGGAUAACUUCAGGAAACUGGGGCUAAUACCGGAUAGGAGCUCCUGCUGCAUGGUGGGGGUUGGAAAGUUUCGGCGGUUGGGGAUGGACUCGCGGCUUAUCAGCUUGUUGGUGGGGUAGUGGCUCACCAGGGCUUUGACGGGUAGCCGGCCUGAGAGGGUGACCGGCCACAUUGGGACUGAGAUACGGCCCAGACUCCUACGGGAGGCAGCAGUGGGGAAUAUUGCACAAUGGGCGGAAGCCUGAUGCAGCAACGCCGCGUGCGGGAUGACGGCCUUCGGGUUGUAAACCGCUUUCGCCUGUGGCGAAGCGUGAGUGACGGUAAUGGGUAAAGAAGCACCGGCUAACUACGUG